CGAGAGGACCGGAGUGGACGAACCUCUGGUGUUCCGGUUGUCACGCCAGUGGCAUUGCCGGGUAGCUAUGUUCGGAAAAGAUAACCGCUGAAAGCAUCUAAGCGGGAAACUUGCCUCAAGAUGAGAUCUCACUGGAACCUUGAGUUCCCUAAAGGGCCGUCGAAGACUACGACGUUGAUAGGUUGGGUGUGUAAGCGCUGUGAGGCGU
Molecule: ribosomal RNA, 208 nt
Filed under: Staphylococcus aureus
Lineage: Bacteria; Bacillati; Bacillota; Bacilli; Caryophanales; Staphylococcaceae
Description: partial 23S ribosomal RNA
Rfam family: Bacterial large subunit ribosomal RNA
Source: RNAcentral